CCUUGGGUGGAAGCUUACUAGGCCAAGCAACAAUAUUGACAAUGACGAUGACGUACUUGAAGGUCUCCGACCACAUUCUAGUUUGGAAUUUUUGGAGAUUAAGGGGUUCAUGGGUGCUAAAUUUCCAACAUGGCUAUUGCUAGCCAACAAUUUGAAGUCUGAAAUCCUCUUCCAUUUGUGAUUACUUAAAUAAUAAGAUUUUCAAGAAUUUUAGCGAUUUUGUAUCUUGCCAGCUGCUCUGUUGUAGUUGAGAUUACGGCUGCCAUGCAACCAUAAGCAGUCAGUGCAGGCAUAACCAUUCUCAGAUCAAAUAAAAUUCAGAGAUCCCUGUACAUUACUUAUCAUAUGAGGCAUUGAUUUGUUCAUUGACACACAUGGAGGAAGGCUUGUCCCUGCAGAAGAUUAUUGAAUUGUAUUCAAGUCAUAAGUACAAGCAAUUCCGUAAUUUCAUGAAGUUCAAGGUGCAUGGUGGUAGUUCUGGCUAGCUAGGACACAUUCAGUUGUGACAGUUGGCUCAGGAAUUCUGAUGAGCUCAAAACUUUCAAUUGGGUUUACCGAGUUUCAGAGUUGGGAAGUUAUCCAUCAAAAGUAUGCAAGAAUCUGAAGUAUUUACCUUCCAUUGAACCUAUGCAAGGCCUCACCAAAUUAAAUGAGAUACGCAUUGGUAAUUGUCUCCUUAUACAAGAAAGAUGCACUGAGGAGAGCGGCACAAAGUAGCCUAAGAUUUGUCAUAUUCCACAAAUCCAGGUUUAAUGAGACAUAGUGUUAGGGAUGUUGAAGCUAGCUAUACACAAGGCCAAUCUACGUACACCGAAGCAAUUCCUAGUUUCUUAAAGUUUCUUGAAGUGUGCAGGAGCAUCUAUUAUUAUUUCGAUCUGUAAGUGGGUUUCUUGGGGAAUUUUAUCAACUGGCGCAGAGUGCAAACAGAGUCCAGCUUUCUACGAUUGAUUCGUAAUGAAAUUCAGGGGAUUGAAAUACUUUGGUGAUUAAAAACAAACUUUCAUCUUGGAAGCUCGUAAAUUUUUGUAAUACAUUAGAACAAACUUUUAUUUGUACUUCUGUCACUCGGUUUUAUUUUUAUUUUUAUUUUGUAUAUAAUCUAUUAUUAGUAUCGUGUACGUGAUUGAGAAAACUGUUUGCCAUCAAUUAGGGCUCUUUCCCCUAAAUUUCCAGGGACCUGACAUAGCAAGAGUGCUUAAGGGGCACUUACGAUUUCUUAAGGGUUUGUAAUUUGAAGAGCUCUAUAGCCAAGA
Molecule: long non-coding RNA, 1253 nt
Organism: Rosa rugosa (rugosa rose)
Lineage: Eukaryota; Viridiplantae; Streptophyta; Magnoliopsida; Rosales; Rosaceae
Exons: 7
Source: RefSeq, a predicted model, not a curated record